AUCAAUAAGCGGAGGAAAAGAAACCAACAGGGUAUUGCCUUAGUAACGGCGAGUGAAGCGGCAAAAGCUCAAAUUUGAAAUCUGGCACCUUCGGUGUCCGAGUUGUAAUUUGAAGAAGGUAACUUUGGAGUUGGCUCUUGUCUAUGUUCCUUGGAACAGGACGUCACAGAGGGUGAGAAUCCCGUGCGAUGAGAUGCCCAAUUCUAUGUAAAGUGCUUUCGAAGAGUCGAGUUGUUUGGGAAUGCAGCUCUAAGUGGGUGGUAAAUUCCAUCUAAAGCUAAAUAUUGGCGAGAGACCGAUAGCGAACAAGUACAGUGAUGGAAAGAUGAAAAGAACUUUGAAAAGAGAGUGAAAAAGUACGUGAAAUUGUUGAAAGGGAAGGGCUUGAGAUCAGACUUGGUAUUUUGCGAUCCUUUCCUUCUUGGUUGGGUUCCUCGCAGCUUACUGGGCCAGCAUCGGUUUGGAUGGUAGGAUAAUGACUAAGGAAUGUGGCUCUACUUCGGUGGAGUGUUAUAGCCUUGGUUGAUACUGCCUGUCUAGACCGAGGACUGCGUCUUUUGACUAGGAUGUUGGCAUAAUGAUCUUAAGCCACCCGUCUUGAAACACG
Molecule: ribosomal RNA, 607 nt
Filed under: Debaryomyces hansenii
Lineage: Eukaryota; Fungi; Ascomycota; Pichiomycetes; Serinales; Debaryomycetaceae
Description: LSU rRNA
Rfam family: Eukaryotic large subunit ribosomal RNA
Source: RNAcentral